This 507-nucleotide ribosomal RNA is filed under the name uncultured bacterium. RNAcentral describes it as "partial 16S ribosomal RNA". It matches the Rfam family "Bacterial small subunit ribosomal RNA", at positions 28 to 507 of the family's 1533-position model. The record is from RNAcentral.
GACGAACGCUGGCGGCGUGCCUAAUACAUGCAAGUCGAACGCAUUUUCUUUCACCGUAGCUUGCUACACCGAAAGAAAAUGAGUGGCGAACGGGUGAGUAACACGUGGGUAACCUGCCCAUCAGCGGGGGAUAACACUUGGAAACAGGUGCUAAUACCGCAUAAUUCCAUUUACUGCAUGGUAGAUGGAUGAAAGGCGCUUUUGCGUCACUGAUGGAUGGACCCGCGGUGCAUUAGCUAGUUGGUGGGGUAACGGCCUACCAAGGCUGCGAUGCAUAGCCGACCUGAGAGGGUGAUCGGCCACACUGGGACUGAGACACGGCCCAGACUCCUACGGGAGGCAGCAGUAGGGAAUCUUCGGCAAUGGACGCAAGUCUGACCGAGCAACGCCGCGUGAGUGAAGAAGGUUUUCGGAUCGUAAAACUCGGUUGUUAGAAAAGAACAAGGAUGAGAGUGGAAAGUUCAUCCCCUGACGGUAUCUAACCAGAAAGCCACGGCUAACUACGUG